UCCGUAGGCGGUGUGGCAAGUCGGAAGUGAAAUCUCUGGGCUUAACCCAGAGGCUGCUUCCGAAACUGCCGUGCUCGAGUGUGAGAGAGGCGAGUGGAAUUACGGGUGUAGCGGUGAAAUGCGUAGAUAUCCGUAGGAACAUCCGAGGCGAAAGCGGCUCGCUGGAUCACAACUGACGCUGAGGGACGAAAGCUAGGGGAGCAAACAGGAUUAGAUACCCUGGUAGUCCUAGCCCUAAACCAUCAGGACUUGGGGUUUGCCCUGUACGGGGCAAGUCCCGUAGCUAACGCGUUAAGUCCUGCGCCUGGGGAGUACGGUCGCAAGGCUGAA
This 330-nucleotide ribosomal RNA is filed under the name uncultured bacterium. RNAcentral describes it as "bacterial SSU rRNA". It matches the Rfam family "Bacterial small subunit ribosomal RNA", at positions 568 to 898 of the family's 1533-position model. The record is from RNAcentral.